GGAAGCGUGGCCGAGUGGUUGAAGGCGGCGGUCUUGAAAACCGUUGUGCCGCAAGGCACCAGGGGUUCAAAUCCUCUCGCUUCCGCCA
RNAcentral lists this transfer RNA (88 nucleotides) under Candidatus Edwardsiibacteriota bacterium. Its description in RNAcentral is "tRNA-Ser". It matches the Rfam family "tRNA". From Rfam's summary of the family: Transfer RNA (tRNA) molecules are approximately 80 nucleotides in length. Their secondary structure includes four short double-helical elements and three loops (D, anti-codon, and T loops). Lineage: Bacteria; Candidatus Edwardsiibacteriota. The record is from RNAcentral.